This 230-nucleotide ribosomal RNA is filed under the name uncultured bacterium. Its description in RNAcentral is "partial 16S ribosomal RNA". It matches the Rfam family "Bacterial small subunit ribosomal RNA", at positions 562 to 791 of the family's 1533-position model. The record is from RNAcentral.
AAAGGGUGCGUAGGCGGGUAGGUAAGUCAGUGGUGAAAUCCUAGAGCUUAACUCUAGAACUGCCAUUGAUACUAUCUAUCUUGAAUAUUGUGGAGGUAAGCGGAAUAUGUCAUGUAGCGGUGAAAUGCUUAGAUAUGACAUAGAACACCUAUUGCGAAGGCAGCUUACUACGCAUAUAUUGACGCUGAGGCACGAAAGCGUGGGGAUCAAACAGGAUUAGAUACCCUUGU